This 433-nucleotide ribosomal RNA is filed under the name uncultured bacterium. RNAcentral describes it as "partial 16S ribosomal RNA". It matches the Rfam family "Bacterial small subunit ribosomal RNA", at positions 29 to 507 of the family's 1533-position model. The record is from RNAcentral.
AGCGAACGCUGGCGGCAGGCUUAACACAUGCAAGUCGAGCGGGCCUUUCGGGGUCAGCGGCGGACGGGUGAGUAACGCGUGGGAACGUGCCCUCUGGUUCGGAAUAACUCAGGGAAACUUGAGCUAAUACCGGAUACGCCCUUUUGGGGAAAGGCUUGCUGCCGGAGGAUCGGCCCGCGUCUGAUUAGCUAGUUGGUGAGGUAACGGGUCACCAAGGCGUCGAUCAGUAGCUGGUCUGAGAGGAAGAGCAGCCACACUGGGACUGAGACACGGCCCAGACUCCUACGGGAGGCAGCAGUGGGGAAUAUUGGACAAUGGGCGCAAGCCUGAUCCAGCCAGGCCGCGUGAGUGAUGAAGGCCUGAGGGUUGUAAAGCUCUUUUAUCCGGGACGAUAAUGACGGUACCGGAGGAAUAAGCCCCGGCUAACUUCGUG